AAACCGUUUAGCGGCACGCUUUUUUCCACAUGUUGAAGUAAAUAAUAUAUCCUUUUUAGAGUCGCCCAUCCUCGCAGCUAUACUACAUGAUCGGCAGAUUAGAGCUCAGGUGGGUGACCACUGGGGAACCCCUGCUGUUGUAUGUUUUUG
RNAcentral lists this ribosomal RNA (150 nucleotides) under Podospora comata. The record is from RNAcentral. Lineage: Eukaryota; Fungi; Ascomycota; Sordariomycetes; Sordariales; Podosporaceae.